Molecule: ribosomal RNA, 400 nt
Filed under: uncultured bacterium
Lineage: Bacteria
Description: partial 16S ribosomal RNA
Rfam family: Bacterial small subunit ribosomal RNA
Source: RNAcentral
CCUACGGGAGGCAGCAGUGGGGAAUAUUGCACAAUGGGGGAAACCCUGAUGCAGCGACGCCGCGUGAGUGAAGAAGUCAUUCGUUAUGUAAAGCUCUAUCAGCAGGGAAGAAAAGGACGGUACCUGAGGAAGAAGCCCCGGCUAACGACGUGCCAGCAGCCGCGGUAAUACGUAGGGGGAAAGCGUUAUCCGGAUUUCCUGGGUGGAAAGGGAGCGUAGCCGGGAGGGCAAGUCUGGAGUGAAAGGCGGGGGCUCAACCCCCGGACUGCUCGGGAAACUGUCCGGCUGGAGUGCCGGAGCGGUAAGUGGCAUUCCUUGUGUAGCGGUGCAAUGCGUCGAUAUUAGGAGGACCACCAGUGGCGCCGGCGGCUUACUGGACUGUAACUGCCGUUGAGGCUCG